AGAGUUUGAUCCUGGCUCAGAGCGAACGCUGGCGGCAUGCUUAACACAUGCAAGUCGCACGGUAUGGGGGCAACUCCAUGCAGUGGCGGACGGGUGAGUAACGCGUAGGAAUCUAUCCUUGGAUGGGGGACAACCGUGGGAAACUACGGCUAAUACCGCAUGAUGCCUGAGGGCCAAAGCUCGCGAGAGCGUCUGGGGAGGAGCCUGCGUCUGAUUAGGUAGUUGGUGGGGUAAAGGCCUACCAAGCCUGCGAUCAGUAGCUGGUCUGAGAGGAUGAUCAGCCACAUUGGGACUGAGACACGGCCCAAACUCCUACGGGAGGCAGCAGUGGGGAAUAUUGGACAAUGGGGGCAACCCUGAUCCAGCAAUGCCGCGUGGGUGAAGAAGGUUUUCGGAUUGUAAAGCCCUUUUGGCGGGGACUAUGAUGACGGUACCCGCAAAAUAAGCUCCGGCUAACUUCGUGCCAGCAGCCGCGGUAAUACGAAGGGGGCUAGCGUUGCUCGGAAUGACUGGGCGUAAAGGGCGCGUAGGCGGCUUGCAUAGUUAGGCGUGAAAUUCCUGGGCUCAACCUGGGGACUGCGUCUAAUACAUGCAGGCUUGAGUGUGAAAGAGGGUCGUGGAAUUUCCAGU
This 630-nucleotide ribosomal RNA is filed under the name uncultured bacterium. RNAcentral's name for it is "bacterial SSU rRNA". It matches the Rfam family "Bacterial small subunit ribosomal RNA", at positions 8 to 674 of the family's 1533-position model. The record is from RNAcentral.